AUUUACAUAAUAUAAAAAUUAUAUUUGACUUCCAAUCAAAAAAUCUAAAUAUUUAGUGUAAAUA
Molecule: transfer RNA, 64 nt
Filed under: Stenotrachelus aeneus
Lineage: Eukaryota; Metazoa; Arthropoda; Insecta; Coleoptera; Stenotrachelidae
Description: tRNA-Gly
Source: RNAcentral